Molecule: transfer RNA, 95 nt
Filed under: Phycicoccus sp. DTK01
Lineage: Bacteria; Bacillati; Actinomycetota; Actinomycetes; Micrococcales; Intrasporangiaceae
Description: tRNA-Leu
Source: RNAcentral
CCGUGUCCGGCGUGCAGGACGACCGCGACGCGGCCGAGGUCCUCGUCGACCGCGCCGCCGAGGUCGGUGCGCGGAUCGUGUUCGAGGGCAACGAC